Molecule: long non-coding RNA, 351 nt
Organism: Dermacentor albipictus
Lineage: Eukaryota; Metazoa; Arthropoda; Arachnida; Ixodida; Ixodidae
Source: RefSeq, a predicted model, not a curated record
GGUGGUCCUCCAUGUUCAAAUUCACCUCGGCGCCAUCUGCAUCCUGCAGCAACUCCCUUGGGAUCUCCCUGCACGCGGAGGCAGAAAAGCAUCGACAAAUAUAGAGCAGGCCACAUCCCGAUUCCCGUAGCUACACCUGCGAGCGCUCACCCCUGGCGGAUGGCCUGGAGAAAUGCCUGGCUGCCCGGGUCGUCGUAGGCGUGCAGCGGCCCGUCGUCGAUGCUGAAGCCGUCCUGCCACAUCUUGAGCACCCGCGAGACGGACGACCGGCGCGGCAUGGCCGUCGGAGACACGGCCUCGCUGCCCGUCGCGGUGUCGCCCAGUCGGUGACCCGUCCCCUGGAACCAGCUG